Molecule: ribosomal RNA, 468 nt
Filed under: uncultured bacterium
Lineage: Bacteria
Description: partial 16S ribosomal RNA
Rfam family: Bacterial small subunit ribosomal RNA
Source: RNAcentral
GACGAACGCUGGCGGCGUGCUUAACACAUGCAAGUCGAACGGAAAGGCCCUGCUUUUGUGGGGUGCUCGAGUGGCGAACGGGUGAGUAACAAGUGAGUAACCUGCCCUUGACUUUGGGAUAACUUCAGGAAACUGGGGCUAAUACCGGAUAGGAGCUGCUGCUGCAUGGUGGGGGUUGGAAAGUUUCGGCGGUUGGGGAUGGACUCGCGGCUUAUCAGCUUGUUGGUGGGGUAGUGACUUACCAAGGCUUUGACGGGUAGCCGGCCUGAGAGGGUGACCGGCCACAUUGGGACUGAGAUACGGCCCAGACUCCUACGGGAGGCAGCAGUGGGGAAUAUUGCACAAUGGGCGGAAGCCUGAUGCAGCAACGCCGCGUGCGGGAUGACGGCCUUCGGGUUGUAAACCGCUUUCGCCUGUGACGAAGCGUGAGUGACGGUAAUGGGUAAAGAAGCACCGGCUAACUACGUG